This 116-nucleotide ribosomal RNA is filed under the name Pteropus alecto (black flying fox). The record is from RNAcentral. Lineage: Eukaryota; Metazoa; Chordata; Mammalia; Chiroptera; Pteropodidae.
GUUUACGGCCAUGCCAUCCUGAACAAGCCCAAUGUCUGAUCUCGGAAGCUAAGUAGGAUCCGGCUUGGUUAGUACUUGGAUAGGAGACCACCUAGGAAGAGCAGGUACUAUAGGCA